RNAcentral lists this long non-coding RNA (518 nucleotides) under Ailuropoda melanoleuca (giant panda). RNAcentral describes it as "lncRNA (ENSAMEG00000024605.1)". Lineage: Eukaryota; Metazoa; Chordata; Mammalia; Carnivora; Ursidae. The record is from RNAcentral.
UUGGUCUGCACCUGUGGCUGGAGGUUACCUGUCUGGGAUUCAGCCCACCAGGAGGGAGCAGAGGGAAAGGCGAAGGAGACCUGGUGAAUGACUGACCGGGUGUCCUGAGGGACCUAGUCCCAGCAAGAGUCCAAGUGUCCAAAUCUUCAAGAAACCCCAGAGACAUUUGUCAAGGCGCGGUACUGUCCCAGCUGCAGGGAAUCCCGCGCAGCAUAGAUAUUUCAGCUGUGCCGACUUUACUGACCCAGCGCUGUCCUCGAAGGUGGUAGAUGAGAUGGACCGACAUCCGAGACUGGCCUGUCCACAGGCACCUCCAGUCCGCUUGGUGACACAGAUGCAUAGACAGGACAUUGCUGGUGGGCGCUGAAGAACAAAUGACCUAGAAAAUGUUUGGCAGCUGUCUUUGUUCGCUGGUGUUUAAUGGGAAAUAGCUAAGCAAACGGACACACUGGCCCUGUCGGAGGUAUGGCGCACAUCAUCGCCCAUUGCUCUGCUACCAACUAACUAAAUACAUGGAA